Molecule: ribosomal RNA, 482 nt
Filed under: uncultured bacterium
Lineage: Bacteria
Description: partial 16S ribosomal RNA
Rfam family: Bacterial small subunit ribosomal RNA
Source: RNAcentral
AUUGAACGCUGGCGGCAUGCUUUACACAUGCAAGUCGAACGGUAACAGCACUUCGGUGGCUGACGAGUGGCGAACGGGUGAGUAAUACAUCGGAACGUGCCUAGUAGUGGGGGAUAACUACUCGAAAGAGUAGCUAAUACCGCAUGAGAUCUAAGGAUGAAAGCAGGGGACCUUCGGGCCUUGCGCUACUAGAGCGGCUGAUGGCAGAUUAGGUAGUUGGUGGGAUAAAAGCUUACCAAGCCGACGAUCUGUAGCUGGUCUGAGAGGACGACCAGCCACACUGGAACUGAGACACGGCCCAGACUCCUACGGGAGGCAGCAGUGGGGAAUUUUGGACAAUGGGCGCAAGCCUGAUCCAGCAAUGCCGCGUGCAGGAUGAAGGCCUUCGGGUUGUAAACUGCUUUUGUACGGAACGAAAAGCCCUCUUCUAAUACAGGAGGGUCAUGACGGUACCGUAAGAAUAAGCGCCGGCUAACUACGUG